This 56-nucleotide transfer RNA is filed under the name Salmo salar (Atlantic salmon). Lineage: Eukaryota; Metazoa; Chordata; Actinopteri; Salmoniformes; Salmonidae. The record is from Rfam by way of RNAcentral.
UGGCUCAGUUGGUAGCAUGGCGCUUGCAAUGCCAAGGUUGUGGGUUCGACUCCUAC